UACGUAGGGUCCGAGCGUUGUCCGGAAUUAUUGGGCGUAAAGGGCUCGUAGGCGGUUCGUCACGUCGGGAGUGAAAACUCGGGGCUUAACCCCGAGCCUGCUUCCGAUACGGGCAGACUAGAGGUAGGCAGGGGAGAGCGGAACUCCUGUGUAGCGGUGGAAUGCGCAGAUAUCAGGAGGAACACCGGUGGCGAAGGCGGGUCUCUGGGCCGAUACUGACGCUGAGGAGCGAAAGUGUGGGGAGCGAACAGG
Molecule: ribosomal RNA, 252 nt
Filed under: uncultured bacterium
Lineage: Bacteria
Description: partial 16S ribosomal RNA
Rfam family: Bacterial small subunit ribosomal RNA
Source: RNAcentral